RNAcentral lists this long non-coding RNA (1310 nucleotides) under Helianthus annuus (common sunflower). Its description in RNAcentral is "hypothetical non coding rna". The record is from RNAcentral. Lineage: Eukaryota; Viridiplantae; Streptophyta; Magnoliopsida; Asterales; Asteraceae.
CACAUAGAGUGUGCGUGUGUGUAUAUACGAUCGAUCAGGGACAGAGGGUGAGGUGAAACCCUAGUUUCACCAAAAUCCAUCAAAUUGAAGGGGGAUUGAAGGGCUAAACUAAUGCAUGAACCAAGAUUUUCGAUCACUUUAGCGUUUCUACCAUCAUGUAAGUCGAAUUUUGGAACGUGUCAAGGAGAGGUCAAGCAUAGGAGGAUAACGGGUCAAGAUAAGGCAAGGUGACAAAUACACUUAUUGGAGUACUCGAGGUAAGUGAAUUUCGAUUCACUUUUUAGUAGGUUUAAUAGAUUUUAAUACUUAUGUUUACGAAACAUCAUGAAAGAACAUGUAAUAAUCAGAAGUACAAAGCCAAUAAUGCCUCAUUAUUGAAGAAGGUUGUAUUUAAGCCGAAAGUAAAUUGGUGGGUUUAAACGGGUCGAAUUUUAUGUGCAUAUGUUGCGUAAUGUAAUGAAAUUCGUUAUGGUUAAGGCCUUGGGUAAGAAUUUUUAGUCAUUAUGUAAGGGGAACAUUCUCGGACCAUUAGGAACAAGUUUUAUAUGAUUCGGUUGUCGGUUAGUGAAUGAACGGAUUGUUUCGUGUUAGUGUAGGAAAUUUUAUAAGUAUAUGUGUAUAGGAAUCCAAAGGGCAUGUGGGUUGAAUCAUAGAUUGUCUAUACUAUGUAAAGUAGUGAAUGUGACAUUCCGGCAUAAACCUACAUGUAAAAGAAGCUUGUGUAUAUAUUCGUGAUUAAUUGAUUGUGCGUAGGAAGGAACAUUGGCAUGUAUGAAGGUACGCAUGUAUAUAUAUAAGUGUAUAUAUAUAUAUAUAUGUAUGUAUGUAUGAUAAUAAGUACGUAGGUGUGAAUGUAUGUGUGAAUGAAUGUUCAAUGCUUAAGACAUAUGCAUGAACGUUAUCAAAGUGUUCGAGUAUUUAUGGUUACUAAUGAUGUGCGUUGAGUUGGAAUGUAAUGUAGGUAUGGGAUCGUUGGCUUCAUGAAGAAAUGGAGCUGGAUUUGGAUAAGAGUAUUUAAGAAAGCGCUUGGACAAUUCCACGACUACUUUAUAGAAUGCUCUACGAAAUUCUAUUAUAUAGUUUAAUGUUGUAUGGCAUGUUAAUGACUAAUGGUUUGGUUGUACGUGGUGUCCACAGGUAUCGCUUGGGUUUUCUCUACAUUUAUUGAAGUGAAGCGGACUUAGUUCGAGUUGAGAGCAAGGAUUGUACGGGGUAGAAUGGUCACAUAGUGUAACUCAUAUAGGUUUUGAAGUAUUAAUGUUAUAAAACGUUAUAAAUCCGUUUUAAUGAAUAUAUGGCAUUUCGCAUUU